Molecule: ribosomal RNA, 301 nt
Filed under: uncultured bacterium
Lineage: Bacteria
Description: partial 16S ribosomal RNA
Rfam family: Bacterial small subunit ribosomal RNA
Source: RNAcentral
CAGCAGCCGCGGGAAUACGGAGGGUGCAAGCGUUAAUCGGAAUUACUGGGCGUAAAGCGCACGCAGGCGGUCUGACAAGUCAGAUGUGAAAUCCCCGGGCUUAACCUGGGAACUGCAUUUGAAACUGUCAGGCUGGAGUCUUGUAGAGGGGGGUAGAAUUCCAGGUGUAGCGGUGAAAUGCGUAGAGAUCUGGAGGAAUACCGGUGGCGAAGGCGGCCCCCUGGACAAAGACUGACGCUCAGGUGCGAAAGCGUGGGGAGCAAACAGGAUUAGAGACCCGCGUAGUCCCUGUCUCUUAUAC